UUCUCCUUUCCUUCUCCU
Molecule: microRNA, 18 nt
Filed under: Corchorus capsularis
Lineage: Eukaryota; Viridiplantae; Streptophyta; Magnoliopsida; Malvales; Malvaceae
Description: sRNA CCACVL1_30613
Source: RNAcentral